CCUACGGGAGGCUGCAGUGGGGAAUAUUGGACAAUGGGCGAAAGCCUGAUCCAGCCAUGCCGCGUGUGUGAAGAAGGCCUUCGGGUUGUAAAGCACUUUCAGUGGGGAAGAAAGCCUUGGGGCUAAUACCCUCGAGGAAGGACAUCACCCACAGAAGAAGCACCGGCUAACUCCGUGCCAGCAGCCGCGGUAAUACGGAGGGUGCGAGCGUUAAUCGGAGUUACUGGGCGUAAAGCGCGCGUAGGCGGUCUGAUAAGCCGGUUGUGAAAGCCCCGGGCUCAACCUGGGAACGGCAUCCGGAACUGUCAGGCUAGAGUGCAGGAGAGGAAGGUAGAAUUCCCGGUGUAGCGGUGAAAUGCGUAGAGAUCGGGAGGAAUACCAGUGGCGAAGGCAGCCUGCUGGACUGACACUGACGCUGAGGUGCGAAAGCGUGGGUAGCAAACAGGAUUAGAUACCCGAGUAGUC
Molecule: ribosomal RNA, 465 nt
Filed under: Vreelandella stevensii
Lineage: Bacteria; Pseudomonadati; Pseudomonadota; Gammaproteobacteria; Oceanospirillales; Halomonadaceae
Description: partial 16S ribosomal RNA
Rfam family: Bacterial small subunit ribosomal RNA
Source: RNAcentral